UAUGUGUCGUUUUAAUUUAGACCAACCUAACUCAUAAGAAAAUGGGUUAUUAAGAAAAAAAAAACUUUAAGUAGUUUUUUGUUUUUAGAGAACUUUAAAAAAAACUUUAAUUAAAUUAGUUAAAGUGAAGUCAAUUAAAAUUAAGUUAAAUUAGUCGUGAUUUUCCAAGAUUUGUAACGUAGACCAACCGACAAUGACUAAUUCGUGGCACCAGUUUCCAUAUUAACGUCUCCAAUGAUGUCUAUGUUCUACUCGACGGACUCUACGGACAGUCUGUUGUGUUCAAACGGUUCUACCUUAGAUUGUACACCAUGUGUCUGGAACUUAUCGGCUUUACCUGCCAGCAUUAUAGACACAGUACCAGUUUCGGAAGAUCCGAGGACGGAAAUGUUAAGAAGAUACUCAUACGGCGUGGCUCUUCCAUCGAUAUGUCUGUUUGGAAUUGUCGGAAAUAUCUUCAAUCUUAUUGUACUGACGAGAAGAAAUAUGAGGGGGACUGCUUAUAUUUACAUGAGAGGAUGGGCUGAACAAGUAAAAGGAAAUCAAUUUGACCAAAUUGAGUUCCGGGAUACCGUGCAAUGUAGGGAAGCGGAACUUCUAUUAACCUCAACGAAAGCGAAGGCAGUCUCACUGCUUUUUUGGACAGGGGAACAAUAGCGAACUUAAACUGGAGUCCUAACAGAUCAUUGUAAACUCAACCGUCAACUAUAUCUUUUAGGUAUGUCUGAAAGCCUCUGUGUCCUAGAUGAAGCCUACCAAGGAGCCUUUUUAUAGGAAAAUUCUACAGGAAGAAAGGUUGCCUAGGUAGGGUUAUAGAGGACGGUCAACAAUGACGACGAAGGCUACCAGGGUUUGCGGAAAGGGACUUUGAAGUUUUCGUGCUGGACUUUGGUCACCCAAGUUACUACAAGUACUUGUAUUUUACAGUCUUAACACUAAUAUUUCUUGUCAAAGUUGCAAUCUAUAUAUACUCAUUUUAGGGAAAUAUUUAUGAAAAUCUAAUUUUUUACUUCAAAAUUAAAAAAAUGUUUUCAUCCUU
Long non-coding RNA from Anthonomus grandis grandis, 1039 nucleotides. RefSeq lists it as uncharacterized. Lineage: Eukaryota; Metazoa; Arthropoda; Insecta; Coleoptera; Curculionidae. The transcript is spliced from 5 exons. The record is from RefSeq and is a predicted model, not a curated record.